This 465-nucleotide ribosomal RNA is filed under the name Vreelandella stevensii. RNAcentral describes it as "partial 16S ribosomal RNA". It matches the Rfam family "Bacterial small subunit ribosomal RNA", at positions 338 to 795 of the family's 1533-position model. Lineage: Bacteria; Pseudomonadati; Pseudomonadota; Gammaproteobacteria; Oceanospirillales; Halomonadaceae. The record is from RNAcentral.
CCUACGGGGGGCUGUAGUGGGGAAUAUUGGACAAUGGGCGAAAGCCUGAUCCAGCCAUGCCGCGUGUGUGAAGAAGGCCUUCGGGUUGUAAAGCACUUUCAGUGGGGAAGAAAGCCUUGGGGCUAAUACCCUCGAGGAAGGACAUCACCCACAGAAGAAGCACCGGCUAACUCCGUGCCAGCAGCCGCGGUAAUACGGAGGGUGCGAGCGUUAAUCGGAAUUACUGGGCGUAAAGCGCGCGUAGGCGGUCUGAUAAGCCGGUUGUGAAAGCCCCGGGCUCAACCUGGGAACGGCAUCCGGAACUGUCAGGCUAGAGUGCAGGAGAGGAAGGUAGAAUUCCCGGUGUAGCAGUGAAAUGCGUAGAGAUCGGGAGGAAUACCAGUGGCGAAGGCGGCCUUCUGGACUGACACUGACGCUGAGGUGCGAAAGCGUGGGUAGCAAACAGGAUUAGAUACCCGGGUAGUC